Molecule: ribosomal RNA, 253 nt
Filed under: uncultured bacterium
Lineage: Bacteria
Description: partial 16S ribosomal RNA
Rfam family: Bacterial small subunit ribosomal RNA
Source: RNAcentral
UACGAAGGUGUCAAACGUUGUCCGGAAUAACUGGGCGUAAAGGGCGCGUAGGCGGUCGGGUAAGUGAGAUGUGAAAUCCUGGAGCUCAACUCCAGAACUGCCUUUGAUACUGAAGAUCUUGAGUCCGGGAGAGGUGAGUGGAACUGCGAGUGUAGAGGUGAAAUUCGUAGAUAUUCGCAAGAACACCAGUGGCGAAGGCGGCUCACUGGCCCGGUACUGACGCUGAGGCACGAAAGCGUGGGGAGCAAACAGG